UACGUAGGGUGCAAGCGUUGUCCGGAAUUAUUGGGCGUAAAGAGCUCGUAGGCGGUCUGUCGCGUCUGCUGUGAAAACUCAGGGCUUAACCCUGAGCUUGCAGUGGGUACGGGCAGACUAGAGUGCGGUAGGGGAGACUGGAAUUCCUGGUGUAGCGGUGAAAUGCGCAGAUAUCAGGAGGAACACCGGUGGCGAAGGCGGGUCUCUGGGCAUUAACUGACGCUGGAGGAGCGGAAAGCCUAGGGGAGCAAACGGG
RNAcentral lists this ribosomal RNA (256 nucleotides) under uncultured bacterium. RNAcentral's name for it is "partial 16S ribosomal RNA". It matches the Rfam family "Bacterial small subunit ribosomal RNA", at positions 524 to 776 of the family's 1533-position model. The record is from RNAcentral.